CUCUCGCUGGUAGUUUCCGCUAACUUUCUUCUUCGGCGUAUUGUCAUGAGAGCUGCCGGUCGGAUGCAAGCUAGUUCUACACAGAGAGGGUUUCUGUCAUCCAUUGUUCAUUGUUUCUCCUCACCUUGGUGCCUUGGAAAGCUUCGUCUUUUGACAAAAAAGGAGGGAAGUGGAUACAGUGAAGAUCACUGAAGCCUUUAAAAGCCAAUCCUGGACUCCGUCUUCUUUGGAAUCCUCACCUCAUGUUAGCUAUCUGUUGAACUGUUUACGUCGCAGACACAGACACGUAGGACAGAAUAGACAGUACUCUUCACUGCUUCAGUACAGCUCAGAAACAGGGUGGUUAUAAGGAGGACACACUCAGCCAUGGAACUGACUGCUUAUUUUGCCCAUGAUAUGUCUUCCAGCAUAUAAAAUCUCCAUAUGGACAUGCUAACAAGGUCUAAGAAAAAUAUUUUCACUUGAGGGGGCAUUUUAAAUUUGUACAUUGUCAUGCUACCUGUUCAGGGCUCUAGAGUAACUUUUUUUCCUAGGAGCACAGUGGCCCCUAACUUAAAAUUUUAGGAGCGCAAGCAGAAAAUUUAGGGGCACACACCAAAAUCAACUUGCAAAGUAAACAUGCCCAUUUCCUCUCAUUUUCACUGUAUAAAUACUUGCACAAUAAAUGCACAAACUAUGUUUUCAAUUCACAAUUUAUUGUGCAGCAGUUGACACAACACAAGAAAAGCACUCAGAGAGCGCAGCACUCUGCUAAGGCUGCUCAGUUGUAUAAUUUUCGAUGGAUGAAAUCUGUAAUAAAAAUGACCUUGUGCUGAGCACAGGCAUGUGUUAUGCAUGUGCACGUUAUGUAUUUAUACCGAAUCACGUGUAAAUUACUCUUAUAAAGGUCUGUUGAUCAGUUCAUCAAUUUUGGCAAGCCUUUGUUUUGCUAGUGUUAAAAUAACCGUUUCCUCCAGGCUUUUAUUUUGAAGGUGUAUUUUUAAUGCUACGGGCUUUUAUUUUGUGACCAUUUCAGCGGCACAGGAAGUGUUUCUCUAAGACGAGGUUUCUUGACCUGACAGACGCUGCAUAAAAGUCUGAAAAUCCACGUAAAGUUGAAAGAAAACGGUUCCACGCUGUUGCCGUCUAGCAAAGGAUGUGUUUAAACUUAGAAGCAGCUAGAAUGGAGACAAGAAAGGAGUGAAGGACAGAAAGGUGAAUUUGUGUUCAAAAUAAGGCUGAACGUAAAUAAAGGUUUUGUGAAACAUCAGGAGCUUCACCGUCAUUCGCUCCCCACUCUCACUUA
Acanthochromis polyacanthus (spiny chromis) is the source of this 1285-nucleotide long non-coding RNA. RefSeq lists it as uncharacterized. The record is from RefSeq and is a predicted model, not a curated record. Lineage: Eukaryota; Metazoa; Chordata; Actinopteri; Pomacentridae. The transcript has 2 exons.